UACGAAGGGGGCUAGCGUUGUUCGGAAUUACUGGGCGUAGAGCGCGCGUAGGCGGCUUUGCAAGCCAGAGGUGAAAUGCCUGAGCUCAACUUAGGAAUUGCCUUUGGGACUGCAGGGCUUCGAGGACUGGAGAGGUGAGUGGAAUUCCCAGUGUAGAGGUGAAAUUCGUAGAUAUUGGGAAGAACACCAGUGGCGAAGGCGGCUCACUGGCCAGUUUCUGACGCUAAAGUGCGAAAGCGUGGGGAUCAAACAGG
This 254-nucleotide ribosomal RNA is filed under the name uncultured bacterium. RNAcentral describes it as "partial 16S ribosomal RNA". It matches the Rfam family "Bacterial small subunit ribosomal RNA", at positions 524 to 776 of the family's 1533-position model. The record is from RNAcentral.